Molecule: ribosomal RNA, 581 nt
Filed under: uncultured Erwinia sp.
Lineage: Bacteria; Pseudomonadati; Pseudomonadota; Gammaproteobacteria; Enterobacterales; Erwiniaceae
Description: bacterial SSU rRNA
Rfam family: Bacterial small subunit ribosomal RNA
Source: RNAcentral
ACGGGUGAGUAAUGUCUGGGAAACUGCCCGAUGGAGGGGGAUAACUACUGGAAACGGUAGCUAAUACCGCAUAACGUCUUCGGACCAAAGUGGGGGACCUUCGGGCCUCACACCAUCGGAUGUGCCCAGAUGGGAUUAGCUAGUAGGUGGGGUAACGGCUCACCUAGGCGACGAUCCCUAGCUGGUCUGAGAGGAUGACCAGCCACACUGGAACUGAGACACGGUCCAGACUCCUACGGGAGGCAGCAGUGGGGAAUAUUGCACAAUGGGCGCAAGCCUGAUGCAGCCAUGCCGCGUGUAUGAAGAAGGCCUUCGGGUUGUAAAGUACUUUCAGUGGGGAGGAAGGCGAAGAGGUUAAUAACCUUUUCGAUUGACGUUACCCGCAGAAGAAGCACCGGCUAACUCCGUGCCAGCAGCCGCGGUAAUACGGAGGGUGCAAGCGUUAAUCGGAAUUACUGGGCGUAAAGCGCACGCAGGCGGUCUGUCAAGUCGGAUGUGAAAUCCCCGGGCUCAACCUGGGAACUGCACUCGGAACUGGCAGGCUAGAGUCUUGUAGAGGGGGGUAGAAUUCCAGGUGUAGC